RNAcentral lists this ribosomal RNA (253 nucleotides) under uncultured bacterium. RNAcentral's name for it is "partial 16S ribosomal RNA". It matches the Rfam family "Bacterial small subunit ribosomal RNA", at positions 524 to 776 of the family's 1533-position model. The record is from RNAcentral.
UACGUAGGGUGCGAGCGUUAAUCGGAAUUACUGGGCGUAAAGCGUGCGCAGGCGGUUCGCCAAGUCAGGUGUGAAAUCCCCGGGCUUAACCUGGGAAUUGCGCUUGAAACUAGCGGGCUUGAGUGUGGCAGAGGGGGGUGGAAUUCCACGUGUAGCGGUGAAAUGCGUAGAGAUGUGGAGGAACACCGAUGGCGAAGGCAGCCCCCUGGGUCAACACUGACGCUCAUGCACGAAAGCGUGGGGAGCAAACAGG